MicroRNA precursor from Chlorocebus sabaeus (green monkey), 70 nucleotides. Lineage: Eukaryota; Metazoa; Chordata; Mammalia; Primates; Cercopithecidae. The record is from Ensembl.
AGUAGAGACGGGGUUUCACCAUGUUGGCCAGGCUGGUCUCAAACUCCUGUCCUCGGGUGAUCCAGCCAUC